This 796-nucleotide ribosomal RNA is filed under the name Sarcopodium macalpinei. RNAcentral's name for it is "eukaryotic LSU rRNA". It matches the Rfam family "Eukaryotic large subunit ribosomal RNA", at positions 99 to 927 of the family's 3401-position model. Lineage: Eukaryota; Fungi; Ascomycota; Sordariomycetes; Hypocreales; Nectriaceae. The record is from RNAcentral.
CGGCAACAGCUCAAAUUUGAAAUCUGGCCCUCGGGUCCGAGUUGUAAUUUGUAGAGGAUGCUUUUGGCGCGGUGCCUUCCGAGUUCCCUGGAACGGGACGCCAUAGAGGGUGAGAGCCCCGUCUGGUUGGACACCAAGCCUCUGUAAAGCUCCUUCGACGAGUCGAGUAGUUUGGGAAUGCUGCUCUAAAUGGGAGGUAUAUGUCUUCUAAAGCUAAAUACCGGCCAGAGACCGAUAGCGCACAAGUAGAGUGAUCGAAAGAUGAAAAGCACUUUGAAAAGAGAGUUAAAUAGCACGUGAAAUUGUUGAAAGGGAAGCGUUUAUGACCAGACUUGGGCUUGGUUGAUCAUCCCGCGUUCUCGCGGGUGCACUCUUCCGGCUCAGGCCAGCAUCAGUUCGCUGCGGGGGAUAAAGGCGUCGGGAAUGUGGCUCCCUCGGGAGUGUUAUAGCCCUUCGUGUAAUACCCUGCGGUGGACUGAGGACCGCGCUUCGGCAAGGAUGCUGGCGUAAUGGUCAUCAACGACCCGUCUUGAAACACGGACCAAGGAGUCGUCUUCGUAUGCGAGUGUUCGGGUGUCAAACCCCUACGCGUAAUGAAAGUGAACGCAGGUGAGAGCUUCGGCGCAUCAUCGACCGAUCCUGAUGUUCUCGGAUGGAUUUGAGUAAGAGCAUACGGGGCCGGACCCGAAAGAAGGUGAACUAUGCCUGUAUAGGGUGAAGCCAGAGGAAACUCUGGUGGAGGCUCGCAGCGGUUCUGACGUGCAAAUCGAUCGUCAAAUAUGGGCAUGGGGGCGAA